UGAAACUGGUCAGGCCUGGAGUGGCCAGCAGACCCCAAGAGCCUCUUUCUGUUGAGAAGGAGUGAGGGACCCCUGCUACUGCACUGCCACCAGCUUCCCAAUACGACUACCAUCCACUGACCUCGUCUCUGUCCCUUCUGGCUCCCAGGUCACUUCCACUCAACAGCCACAGAGGGAAGCUGAGAAAACAUCAUCACAGAUGGCCUGAAUGCAAAAGCGGCCCAAUCACUUCUUUCCGGCUUUGCUGCCAUCUGUUUCCACCUGCCAUGGACUUGUAACCCAGUUCUUUGCCAUGCUGACUGGCUCUGGCUUGCAGGGUUACAGCCAUACCCCCACCACUGGCACACAGGGUUUAGCCAGCUCCAUAGAGCUUUGGUUAACAUGUUUGACUUCAAACACACAGAGGUUCAAAAGCAAUGGUCAA
Molecule: long non-coding RNA, 424 nt
Organism: Ochotona princeps (American pika)
Lineage: Eukaryota; Metazoa; Chordata; Mammalia; Lagomorpha; Ochotonidae
Exons: 2
Source: RefSeq, a predicted model, not a curated record